Molecule: ribosomal RNA, 460 nt
Filed under: uncultured bacterium
Lineage: Bacteria
Description: partial 16S ribosomal RNA
Rfam family: Bacterial small subunit ribosomal RNA
Source: RNAcentral
CCUACGGGAGGCUGCAGUGAGGAAUAUUGGUCAAUGGACGAGAGUCUGAACCAGCCAAGUAGCGUGAAGGAUGACUGCCCUAUGGGUUGUAAACUUCUUUUAUAUGGGAAUAAAACGUUCCACGUGUGGGAUUUUGUAUGUACCAUAUGAAUAAGGAUCGGCUAACUCCGUGCCAGCAGCCGCGGUAAUACGGAGGAUCCGAGCGUUAUCCGGAUUUAUUGGGUUUAAAGGGAGCGUAGGUGGAUUGUUAAGUCAGUUGUGAAAGUUUGCGGCUCAACCGUAAAAUUGCAGUUGAAACUGGCAGUCUUGAGUACAGUAGAGGUGGGCGGAAUUCGUGGUGUAGCGGUGAAAUGCUUAGAUAUCAAGAAGAACUCCGAUUGCGAAGGCAGUUCACUGGACUGCAACUGACACUGAGGCUCGAAAGUGUGGGUAUCAAACAGGAUUAGAUACCCUAGUAGUC